RNAcentral lists this long non-coding RNA (2045 nucleotides) under Mytilus galloprovincialis (Mediterranean mussel). Lineage: Eukaryota; Metazoa; Mollusca; Bivalvia; Mytilida; Mytilidae. The record is from RNAcentral.
CAGGAAACUGACAAAUUAACCAUAUAAAAUGUAUGACGUGAAAAUUGAAGUUUUAUUGUGGGACUGCCCAUUGAACAGAGGCCUGAUGUACAUGUCACAUCUUGAAGUUGUGGUCACAGUUUGGUAAAAUUACUAUAAGUUAAAUGGCUCAACCACUACGGCUCCUUGUACAAAUGGACAAAGAUUUAAAACUUUGAUUGUUUGCUUUGGUUUUAUAAACAUCACUUUCUACACCAUAUGGGUAAUUUCAUGGCAGUCAGUUUUAGUGGCGUACUAAACCGUAGUACUUGAAGGAAAACGCCAACCUGCGGGAGGAAACUGACUAACCUUAUCACAUAUGACAUGAAAAUCAAACCUUAAUUUUGCAACUGCCCAACUAGGGCUCAAACCAAUACCUAGAGGCUAGUAAUCAUACAUGUAAGGUGUGACGAACUACCAUACAAACACGCCUACUGCCCCUGAUAAGUUUUGAGGAUAAAGGAUCUGUACCAAAUUAGGAUAGCAAAAUAUUAAAAAUUUGGAAGGUUGGCACAAAUAGACAUGGUGUUUAUACUAAUAUUAUCCAAGUGCAAGGUUUUUCAGGGCUAGGUUUAAAACGUAUGAUAAAUUCAAAAUGGAAAUAUGCAGCAGGACAGACAAUUUUUGCAGAUAAAUAAAUUAUGGGUUGUAAUGCUUGUUUGAUUAACAGAAAUCUGGACAUGCAUUACAUGAAUACAGAUAAAUUAAUGAGCCCUUAGAAUUGUGGAAAAGGAGGGGAUUUUAUUCAUCACUAGUACACUAGAUACAUUUAUAAAUAUGUUUCUGUCAGUAUCUUUUAUGUUUUAAGAAUUAUCUUAUUCAUGUUAAGAAGAAAGGCAAGAAAAGGGGGAAGUACUUCAAUUGACACAAGAUGCUAGUCUUUAAAAUAUGUAUGUUUUGUACCAGGCUAGCAUCUACUGGUACAAAACUACUAUAAACCUGUAAAUCUGGGACCAUUUUGGUCUUUAAGCUUUGGUGCUUACAGCCAUAAUUAUCUUGAAUGCAUCAUUGUGGUUCUGACUAUAGUAGAUACUUUGUUCUCUGGUUCAAGGGAAAAUUUGUCAAUGAUAAAUUUCAAAUAUUUAAUAAGUUCAACAAAUGUAAGAGCCACGCAUAUUUGUUCUGUGAUGUCCCGGUGAAAAACUUCUAUCUCAUGAAGCGACAAAGUCAAGCAGAAAUCAUCUGUUUCUGCUUUACAAAAGAUAAAAUUUGAGUCCUCUACAAGGUCUCUCAGAACGUUUCUUUCAAAGAAUAGCUGAAAAUUUGAUUUUUGAUAAAAUCCAUCUCCCUUAACCAAUGCAUUGCAGCAUAGGGAGAUGCUUUCCCCUGCCGGCCUCUUUGACAUUACUUUUGGCAGACUUUUUCUAUUCCAUGUCAUUUAAAUGUUUGCUCCCAAUACAGUGUAAGGCAAGCGCUUUUAAGAUCGUGAUUUGAAAUAAGUAAAGCCAGGAACAAACUCGGCGGAUACGAUCAAAUUCCGGCACAAUUUCGAUUUUUUUUUAAAUAAAAAAAAAUAAAUUUCUGAAACGCAAAUAAAAUUAUUUGGGCGGCAAGUUUUUCAGUGGGUCGGGCGGCAAUGCCAAACAAAUGAAAUUUUAUUUUAGGCCAUGUAACAGUAUACUGUGGAUUCAUUUAUUUUCGUGGAUAUCAAUUUUCGUGGAUUUCGGAAAACCAGUAUUUUCGUGGCUAUUUGAUUUCGUGGUUUUGUCAAUCUCUGUAUACAAAGCCUAUAGAACAUGUGUUAUUCAUUGAACAUUUGAAUUCGUGGUUCACUUGUACCCACGAAAACCACGAAAAUUGGUAUCCAACGAAUAAUAAUGAAUCCACAAUACUUGAAUGACAUGGUGGGUUAUUGAAUAUGUCUAUGAAAAAUCAACAAAAACACUACUUAACUUACCAUUCAUGUAUAGCUUUUCUCAGUUUGACUAGAUGUAUCAUACCCUACUAUCAGAAGGGAGAUACAAAACAAGGAACAUAAUUCAAGUGAAGAGUAUAUAUUUUGGAAAACAACACUCCUACAUCAUAAA